Molecule: transfer RNA, 87 nt
Filed under: Caedimonas sp.
Lineage: Bacteria; Pseudomonadati; Pseudomonadota; Alphaproteobacteria; Holosporales; Caedimonadaceae
Description: tRNA-Leu
Rfam family: tRNA
About the family: Transfer RNA (tRNA) molecules are approximately 80 nucleotides in length. Their secondary structure includes four short double-helical elements and three loops (D, anti-codon, and T loops).
Source: RNAcentral
GCCCCUGUGGUGGAAUUGGUAGACGCGGCAGACUCAAAAUCUGUUGCCCGUAAGGGUGUGGGAGUUCGAGUCUCCCCGGGGGCACCA